This 482-nucleotide ribosomal RNA is filed under the name Lactobacillus delbrueckii subsp. bulgaricus. RNAcentral describes it as "bacterial SSU rRNA". It matches the Rfam family "Bacterial small subunit ribosomal RNA", at positions 478 to 951 of the family's 1533-position model. The record is from RNAcentral. Lineage: Bacteria; Bacillati; Bacillota; Bacilli; Lactobacillales; Lactobacillaceae.
AUCAACCAGAAAGUCACGGCUAACUACGUGCCAGCAGCCGCGGUAAUACGUAGGUGGCAAGCGUUGUCCGGAUUUAUUGGGCGUAAAGCGAGCGCAGGCGGAAUGAUAAGUCUGAUGUGAAAGCCCACGGCUCAACCGUGGAACUGCAUCGGAAACUGUCAUUCUUGAGUGCAGAAGAGGAGAGUGGAAUUCCAUGUGUAGCGGUGGAAUGCGUAAAUAUAUGGAAGAACACCAGUGGCGAAGGCGGCUCUCUGGUCUGCAACUGACGCUGAGGCUCGAAAGCAUGGGUAGCGAACAGGAUUAGAUACCCUGGUAGUCCAUGCCGUAAACGAUGAACCGCUAGGUGUUGGGGACUUUCCGGUCCUCAGUGCCGCAGCAAACGCAUUAAAGCGCUCCCGCCUGGGGGAGAACGACCGCAAGGUUGAAACUCAAAAGGAAUUGACCGGGGGCCCGCCACAACCGGGGGAACAUGUGGGUUUAAU